This 480-nucleotide long non-coding RNA is filed under the name Calidris pygmaea (Spoon-billed sandpiper). RNAcentral's name for it is "lncRNA (ENSCPGG00000019189.1)". Lineage: Eukaryota; Metazoa; Chordata; Aves; Charadriiformes; Scolopacidae. The record is from RNAcentral.
GGAAUGUUUAGAUUUAUCUGUUUCAGCCAACACAAUGUCAGUUUGACUCUUUGCCUGACUGUAUAGUACAACACAUUUGUUUCUCUUCUUUGCAGUGAACAUCUUUUCCGACAGCUGUGCGCCAUACACUGGCUUUUGGAAGCUUUGACUCUUGAAUCCAACAGUUCAAUGCGUUCUAUAUUCACCUGUUGGAAUCCAACCCCUACAGAAAGUCAACCUGGUAACACGUGAAGAAGGAUCAAAAGAUGUCCAUAAACAAGAUGAUCUGGUUAAGAAGACUGGAGUGCAGCGUUUGUUGCCAGCGGCUCAGAAGAAUUACGGGGUAAAAAUGCCAUUCAUUAAGGACCAAGAGAGUUUACUAUCAAGGAAGCAGAGACCCAGAAGGCAGAGGUAAGGGUACAAAUCUGUUUUUAAGCACAUUAUGUGCUUUAUAAACUCUGCUCUGUAUGUGGAAAGCAUUUGGCAUGCAAAUGUCAGCAU